Molecule: ribosomal RNA, 468 nt
Filed under: uncultured bacterium
Lineage: Bacteria
Description: partial 16S ribosomal RNA
Rfam family: Bacterial small subunit ribosomal RNA
Source: RNAcentral
GACGAACGCUGGCGGCGUGCUUAACACAUGCAAGUCGAACGGAAAGGCCCUGCUUUUGUGGGGUGCUCGAGUGGCGAACGGGUGAGUAACACGUGAGUAACCUGCCCUUGACUUUGGGAUAACUUCAGGAAACUGGGGCUAAUACCGGAUAGGAGCUCCUGCUGCAUGGUGGGGGUUGGAAAGUUUCGGCGGUUGGGGAUGGACUCGCGGCUUAUCAGCUUGUUGGUGGGGUAGUGGCUUACCAAGGCUUUGACGGGUAGCCGGCCUGAGAGGGUGACCGGCCACAUUGGGACUGAGAUACGGCCCAGACUCCUACGGGAGGCAGCAGUGGGGAAUAUUGCACAAUGGGCGGAAGCCUGAUGCAGCAACGCCGCGUGCGGGAUGACGGCCUUCGGGUUGUAAACCGCUUCCGCCUGUGACGAAGCGUGAGUGACGGUAAUGGGUGAAGAAGCACCGGCUAACUACGUG